RNAcentral lists this ribosomal RNA (274 nucleotides) under uncultured bacterium. RNAcentral's name for it is "partial 16S ribosomal RNA". It matches the Rfam family "Bacterial small subunit ribosomal RNA", at positions 523 to 796 of the family's 1533-position model. The record is from RNAcentral.
AUACGGAGGGUGCAAGCGUUAAUCGGAAUUACUGGGCGUAAAGGGCGCGUAGGCGGUUCUGUAAGUCGGGUGUGAAAGCCCCGGGCUCAACCCGGGAACUGCAUUCGAUACUGCAGGACUAGAGUAUGGGAGAGGGAAGUGGAAUUUCCGGUGUAGCGGUGAAAUGCGUAGAUAUCGGAAGGAACACCAGUGGCGAAGGCGACUUCCUGGCCCAAUACUGACGCUCAGGUGCGAAAGCGUGGGUAGCGAACAGGAUUAGAAACCCCAGUAGUCC